CCUACGGGUGGCAGCAGUGGGGAAUAUUGCACAAUGGGGGAAACCCUGAUGCAGCGACGCCGCGUGAGUGAAGAAGGAUUUCGGCAUGUAAAGCUCUAUCAGCAGGGAAGAUAAUGACGGUACCUGACUAAGAAGCCCCGGCUAACUACGUGCCAGCAGCCGCGGUAAUACGUAGGGGGCAAGCGGUAUCCGGAUUUACUGGGUGUAAAGGGUGCGUAGGUGGCAGUGCAAGUCAGAUGGGAAAGCCCGGGGCUCAACACCGGUACUGCAUGUGAAACGGGCCAGCUGGAGUGCAGGAGAGGUAAGCGGAAUUCGUAGUGUAGCGGUGAAAUGCGUAGAUAUUAGGCGGAACACCAGUGGCGAAGGCGGCUUACUGGACUGUAACUGACGUUGAGGCUCGAAAGCGUGGGGAGCAAACAGGAUUAGAUACCCGUGUAGUC
RNAcentral lists this ribosomal RNA (440 nucleotides) under uncultured bacterium. RNAcentral describes it as "partial 16S ribosomal RNA". It matches the Rfam family "Bacterial small subunit ribosomal RNA", at positions 338 to 795 of the family's 1533-position model. The record is from RNAcentral.